AGAGUUUGAUCCUGGCUCAGAACGAACGUUGGCGGCGUGGAUUAGGCAUGCAAGUCGAACGAAUCCCUGGGGGCUUGCUCCCAGGGGGAAGUGGCGAAAGGGGCAGUAAGGCGUGGGUAACCUACCCCGGGGACGGGCAUAGCCGUCCUAACGGACGGGUAAUUCCUGGCGAUCUGACGGAGGGGCAUCUUUCUGUCAGGAAAGGAGUUUCGCCUCGGGAGGGGCUCACGUAGUAUUAGCUGGUUGGUGGGGUAACGGCCUACCAAGGCGAAGAUGCUUAGCGGGUGUGAGAGCACGACCCGCGCCACUGGCACUGAGACACUGGCCAGACUCCUACGGGAGGCUGCAGUCGAGGAUCUCCGGCAAUGGGCGCAAGCCUGACCGAGCGACGCCGCGUGUGCGGUGAAGGCCUUCGGGUUGUAAAGCACUGUCGAGGGGAAGAAAGCCGCAAGGUUGAUCGACCCCUGGAGGAAGCACGGGCUAAGUUCGUGCCAGCAGCCGCGGUAAGACGAACCGUGCGAACGUUGUUCGGAUUCACUGGGCUUAAAGGGCGCGUAGGCGGGUGGCUAAGUCAGGGGUGAAAUCUUUCGGCUCAACCGGAAAAGUGCCUUUGAUACUGGUCACCUCGAGGAAGGUAGGGGCAUGUGGAACUUCCGGUGGAGCGGUGAAAUGCGUAGAUAUCGGAAGGAACGCCGGUGGCGAAAGCGACGUGCUGGACCUUUUCUGACGCUGAGGCGCGAAAGCCAGGGGAGCAAACGGGAUUAGAUACCCCGGUAGUCC
RNAcentral lists this ribosomal RNA (780 nucleotides) under uncultured bacterium. Its description in RNAcentral is "bacterial SSU rRNA". It matches the Rfam family "Bacterial small subunit ribosomal RNA", at positions 8 to 796 of the family's 1533-position model. The record is from RNAcentral.